GGGGGUGUAGUUUAAUGGGAAAGCACUUGCCUAGCAUGCAGGAGGUCCUGAGUUCCACUCCCAGCACCUCAA
Molecule: transfer RNA, 72 nt
Filed under: Fukomys damarensis (Damara mole-rat)
Lineage: Eukaryota; Metazoa; Chordata; Mammalia; Rodentia; Bathyergidae
Rfam family: tRNA
About the family: Transfer RNA (tRNA) molecules are approximately 80 nucleotides in length. Their secondary structure includes four short double-helical elements and three loops (D, anti-codon, and T loops).
Source: Rfam by way of RNAcentral